UACGGAGGGUGCAAGCGUUAUCCGGAUUUACUGGGUUUAAAGGGUUCGUAGGUGGCCACCUAAGUCAGACGUGAAAUCCCUCAGCUUAACUGGGGAACUGCGUCUGAUACUGGGUGGCUUGAGUGCAGGAGAGGAAUGCGGAAUUCCAGGUGUAGCGGUGAAAUGCGUAGAUAUCUGGAGGAACACCGGUGGCGAAGGCGGCAUUCUGGACUGUAACUGACACUGAGGAACGAAAGCCAGGGGAGCAAACGGG
This 253-nucleotide ribosomal RNA is filed under the name uncultured bacterium. Its description in RNAcentral is "partial 16S ribosomal RNA". It matches the Rfam family "Bacterial small subunit ribosomal RNA", at positions 524 to 776 of the family's 1533-position model. The record is from RNAcentral.